This 433-nucleotide ribosomal RNA is filed under the name uncultured bacterium. RNAcentral's name for it is "partial 16S ribosomal RNA". It matches the Rfam family "Bacterial small subunit ribosomal RNA", at positions 29 to 507 of the family's 1533-position model. The record is from RNAcentral.
AACGAACGCUGGCGGCAUGCCUAACACAUGCAAGUCGAACGAGACCUUCGGGUCUAGUGGCGCACGGGUGCGUAACGCGUGGGAACCUGCCCUUAGGUUCGGAAUAACUCCCCGAAAGGGGUGCUAAUACCGGAUAAUGUCUUCGGACCAAAGAUUUAUCGCCUUUGGAUGGGCCCGCGUUGGAUUAGCUAGUUGGUAGGGUAAAAGCCUACCAAGGCGCCGAUCCAUAGCUGGUCUGAGAGGAUGAUCAGCCACACUGGGACUGGGACACGGCCCAGACUCCUACGGGAGGCAGCAGUGGGGAAUAGUGGACAACGGGCGAAAGCCUGAUCCAGCAAGGCCGCGUGAGUGAUGAAGGCCUUAGGGUUGUAAAGCUCUUUUAACCGGGAUGAUAAUGACAGUACCGGGAGAAUAAGCUCCGGCUAACUCCGUG